UACGUAGGGGGCAAGCGUUGUCCGGAUUUAUUGGGCGUAAAGAGCGUGUAGGCGGCUAGAUAGGUCCGUUGUGAAAACUCGAGGCUCAACCUCGAGACGUCGAUGGAAACCAUCUGGCUAGAGUCCGGAAGAGGAGAGUGGAAUUCCUGGUGUAGCGGUGAAAUGCGCAGAUAUCAGGAAGAACACCUAUGGCGAAGGCAGCUCUCUGGGACGGUACUGACGCUGAGGAGCGAAAGCGUGGGGAGCGAACAGG
Molecule: ribosomal RNA, 253 nt
Filed under: uncultured bacterium
Lineage: Bacteria
Description: partial 16S ribosomal RNA
Rfam family: Bacterial small subunit ribosomal RNA
Source: RNAcentral